AGGUACAGCCAAAAAGGAAAAACCGCGGGACGCUGGCGGCUGACAUCACAGGUAGGAGGAAACGUGAGUUCCCGGGCAGGACAGACGGGCAGCCAGCUGCUGUCCCUUGUGCUGGGCAGGCCCUGGAGACACUGUCUGCUGGGUUGGUAGGGAAGGACUGGUGAAUUCGACCC
Bos taurus (domestic cattle) is the source of this 173-nucleotide non-coding RNA. The record is from Rfam. NCBI's taxonomy places the organism in Eukaryota, Metazoa, Chordata, Mammalia, Artiodactyla, Bovidae.